AGCCCUGGCGAACGCUUUAGAAGUUGAGCGAAGCUUCACUUUACAGAGCAAAACAUACAAAGUGAGGAAGGAUGGACCUGACUCUUACUUUCCUUUCACGUUUACUGACAUCGCUGGUAUUCAUGAUCAAGUUAACGGAAUACAGAGUGAUGACAUCGUCAAAUUAUUAAACGGCCAUAUCAGCGAUGGUUAUUUUUUUAACCCAGUAAGAUCCAUUACAGAAGACGACAACAAGU
This is a long non-coding RNA of Danio aesculapii, 236 nucleotides long. RefSeq lists it as uncharacterized. The transcript has 3 exons. NCBI's taxonomy places the organism in Eukaryota, Metazoa, Chordata, Actinopteri, Cypriniformes, Danionidae. The record is from RefSeq and is a predicted model, not a curated record.